AUGUUCCAAUUCAAAUGUGUAGAGCGCAUAUGCAUAAUGGUUUUUCUUUCUUUUAAUGCAGCAAAACAAAGAAAUACUGGAAAGGUGCAUUGGAUUGAUGAAGAGAAGUCACACUAUUGUGCUACUAGAGGCAGAAGACUUACAGCCAGCACAAGAAAAGGAAUUACUUCCAUUAUGAUUAGAGUCGACUUCACUCCAACAGCACUAAAGAAUCCCAUUGAUCCUAAAACUGAAAGCAUCACUAGGACAACGCCAGAUAAGCCAAGCAGUACCUGCAAUUUAUCUCGUCAAAUGAAACAUAAUGCAACACAUGUUUGA
Molecule: ribosomal RNA, 318 nt
Filed under: Triticum aestivum (bread wheat)
Lineage: Eukaryota; Viridiplantae; Streptophyta; Magnoliopsida; Poales; Poaceae
Description: partial small subunit ribosomal RNA
Source: RNAcentral